CAGCAGCGGUUGCCCUCCCCCUGACAACGACGACAACGUUCAUCGUGUCGAAAGCGCUCAUCAUUCCCGAACUACUGCACGAAACCCCGCUCCUCACUUCCUCACCUACUGGCGCGGGCACAAACCUGCAGCCGCUGAGAGUUGGUGAGCUAAGCCACUCCCCUUCUCCCGAGUACACCGCAGCUGCGUAUACAUAACGGAGAGUACCACACGUUUCGCCUACCCCUGCUAACAUCCGAUCAGCCUCUCUCUCUCUACUCAAUUUUUUUUUAGCUUCUUCUCAAGAUGCUCCGUCCGUCAGUGCGCAUGACCACGCGAGCGCAGACGUCGCGCGUCUGCUCCUUUCACGCCGGGCUGGCAUCGGUGACUGAGACACCCUUUUCCGCUCUCGCCGGUGGGGCGGUGCGUCCACAGCCCCGCUCCCUUGCUCAGAGCGUUCGCCGCGGUGCGUGUCUGCGAAGGGCUGAGACGGCGACCACCACACGGACUUCCGCGUUCUCUCCGUGCUGCACGUCCACGGCACCACUCUUCACGAAUGCGAAGAAUUCGUACGCGCGCGGCACAGAAGAGGAGCAGCAGGCGCGUCAGGAGGCUGCGGUCAAGGAGUGGCGCGACUUUCUCGAUCAGCCGGUGGACGCGGACGGCGGUAACGCCCCGUCAGCGCGCCAUGUCGAGGCCCGCCUGCCAACCAUGAAGCAGCUGAACGAAGAGCUGCCCACGGCGGCAGAGCUGGAGAAGGCGCUGCGUGAGGGGAAGAUAGAUGCGUACGCCACGCAGCCGGACAGGGACGAGGAUUAGGGUGCCCGCCGGGCAGCAUCAAGGGUGCGUGCCCGUUUCUCUGCCUCUUACUUGUCGCGCACCCACGUCCGAACACGUGUGCAAACAACCGCCUGCUCUCAUCCGCCCUUCCUGUUUCCCUCGCCGCCGCUGCCGCUGCUGCUGCUGCUUGCUUGCUUGCUUGAUCUUGCGGUCUUGCGUACUCACGCACAUGCACUCCACAUGCGUCGCCGCUUGAUACGAAGGGCUGCACUCUUCUCUCCGUCCUUCGGAACAUGCAUACAUAUAUAUUCAUUGGAUACCCUUCUGUACAUGUAUAUAUAUAUAUAUAUAUGUGCAUGUGUGUCUGCCUCUGUCAGUGGCGUCACAUGAACGACGGCGGGCCUGAGUGUCGUCGCUGUCUCCAUGUGGGGUGCAUGUCUUGGAAAAGGUGUAUGUGUGUGUGUGUGGAUGGGUAGGUGUGCGCUCUGGGGAAGAUCGCGCGGCGUGGAGACGAUCCAGUCGUGCAUGACGGGGUCACAAAGACCACCGCCACCACCUGCUCUCCUCUUGUUCACAGACGCUCUGAAUGCGGACGGGUCUCUGUCUCUCUCUUAAUUUGCACGGAUACACAAGCAGGCAGACAGACCCGUGCAGGGCGAGACGCACAGACUCGUUAUUUGUUUCCGUGUCACUGCUGCACGAGGCUGCGCAUCUCACCUCUCGUUUCCCUUCCUGCUGUUUGCGUCCUGUUGAGACGCUCCGUCCACUUCUUCCGAUCCGCCUCUGCGUGGGUGUGCGUGCUGUUUGCUGCCGUGCACAGGCACGCACACACCCGUGUAGAGGCCCUCCACGACCCGCAUGCGUGCGUGAUGAGCUGUUUUGGCUCCUGCUUCCUUCUCCCUCUGUUUCUGCGCAUAUGUGGAUGCCGCCAUCACUCGCCUCGUGACGUGCGUGUCGUGGUA
RNAcentral lists this unclassified non-coding RNA (1721 nucleotides) under Leishmania donovani. RNAcentral's name for it is "gene:LdHU3.02.0600(CDS-product:hypothetical_prote in_conserved)". Lineage: Eukaryota; Euglenozoa; Kinetoplastea; Trypanosomatida; Trypanosomatidae. The record is from RNAcentral.